Molecule: ribosomal RNA, 301 nt
Filed under: uncultured bacterium
Lineage: Bacteria
Description: partial 16S ribosomal RNA
Rfam family: Bacterial small subunit ribosomal RNA
Source: RNAcentral
CAGUCGCCGCGGUAAUACGGAGGGUGCAAGCGUUAAUCGGAAUUACUGGGCGUAAAGCGCACGCAGGCGGUCUGACAAGUCAGAUGUGAAAUCCCCGGGCUUAACCUGGGAACUGCAUUUGAAACUGUCAGGCUGGAGUCUUGUAGAGGGGGGUAGAAUUCCAGGUGUAGCGGUGAAAUGCGUAGAGAUCUGGAGGAAUACCGGUGGCGAAGGCGGCCCCCUGGACAAAGACUGACGCUCAGGUGCGAAAGCGUGGGGAGCAAACAGGAUUAGAUACCCCGGUAGUCCCUGUCUCUAUACC